RNAcentral lists this unclassified non-coding RNA (305 nucleotides) under plant metagenome. RNAcentral's name for it is "partial contains 5.8S ribosomal RNA, internal transcribed spacer 2, and large subunit ribosomal RNA". The stretch from base 1 to 105 matches the Rfam family "5.8S ribosomal RNA", at positions 50 to 154 of the family's 154-position model. The record is from RNAcentral.
GAAAUGCGAUAAGUAAUGUGAAUUGCAGAAUUCAGUGAAUCAUCGAAUCUUUGAACGCACAUUGCGCCCGCCAGUAUUCUGGCGGGCAUGCCUGUUCGAGCGUCAUUUCAACCAUCAAGCCCCCGGCUUGUGUUGGGGACCCGCGGCUGCCCGCAGGCCCUGAAAAACAGUGGCGGGUUCGCUGUCACACCGAGCGUAGUAGCAUACAUUCUCGCUCAGGGCGUGCUGCGGGUUCCGGCCGUUAAACGACCUUCAUAACCCAAGGUUGACCUCGGAUCAGGUAGGAAGACCCGCUGAACUUAAGC